Molecule: long non-coding RNA, 760 nt
Filed under: Chinchilla lanigera (long-tailed chinchilla)
Lineage: Eukaryota; Metazoa; Chordata; Mammalia; Rodentia; Chinchillidae
Description: lncRNA (ENSCLAG00000024340.1)
Source: RNAcentral
AUGACCACUGGAAUCCCCUGUCAUGGACGUCAUGGUUUCAUCUGCCUUUCAAACCUUUCCUACCACCUCACACCCACAAACUCCUUCUGCCUCUACUUUCUGCACGUCGAAAGCCUUCAUCACAAUGCAAGUGAAAAGUGGCCUGGAGCUUGCUGCUCCGUCUUGUGCAGUUCACCCACGUCCCUGAGCACUGACUCGGGGGCAGCUCUGCAGAGUGCGGACUGUCCCACCGAGUGGCCUUGAACACGUUCCUGAUAACACCUACCACAGCCAUGGGAGUUCUGAGAAUUCUACCUAGCAUCAGGAAGAGGAGGCGUUUGGUGCAGGAAGUCAGACAAAGCCUUGAAUGUAGCACAACUAUAUAAGAAGCUGACCUGAUAAAUAGGAAACACGCAACCUUGGUUUAUUUUUUCUUGCCAGGCUGAAAUUUGCUUUAGGGAAAAAUGAACACAUUGUGCCAUGGCUGUAAGCCUGGAGUCGGGGCUGGUGCGCAGAUGUCAGGCCCUGACUCCAGGCUGUGGGUGGGUGAGUGGCUGACAGUUAUGUAUUAACUUCAGGUAAUUAUUUGAUUAAUUAUUAAUAUUAAUUAUUAAUUAAUAAUAUUAAUUAUUUGAUUAACUUCAAAUUUCUACUCUGUUUUUCCUAUGGAGACACAGACUUCUUGCUUUAUUUGUGUGUUUGUUUUGGUCUGCUUCACAUAUGUAGAGAAAUGACCAAUAACUUAAAGUUUUCAAUGGAUGAAGAAAUAUCUAUCGAAUGC